AGAAUCGUACACAAUAGAAUGUAGUUCGACGUGGAGACUGGCAUUCAUGGGUGAAACUCGUACUAACUCAAACUUGCACUACAAUUCGAUACGAAAAAUACAGUUGCAGCAGACAACUCAAAAAUAGAGUGAAAAACAAACAUGUUUCUCGAGCGCAAUCAACAUUUAGUACAAAAGGCCACCUUCGCCAUGAAAAUUCCAUUCCGAUCCUACCAUCGAUUUCGCAGGCACUCUCUCAGUCGUACGUGUAAAGUUAAUAAGUUUAGACGCUGUGUACGAGGCAGGAAUACCGACAUCACAUUCGAGCCAAGCGAUUCUGGUCCUUAGGAUGGAUGAAAAGAGAGGGAGAGGGAUAUUGGACAGGGUCGACCACGGCGAAAUGACAUUCAAUUCACUACGUCAUUGCACAUCUCCUCAAAGGGAGAUAGAUAUAUUAAUCAGUAGCAACUGAACCAAAGAGCAAGAGUAUUAAGUAAGCAAGAGAGAUUUGUCAGGAUCAUGGCUAGUGUAGUCCUUUUUUAUACAAUUUUGGAGAGAAUAAUUCCUUUUUGAUGAUUACAACAACAAUUUAUCUAGUUUUAUUUUAAAAGAAAUAAUUUUAAUGUGAUUUUGUGUUAUCUAUUUUUAGUUGCAGCUAAUAAAAUAUCAUUUAAUAACAGUAA
Molecule: long non-coding RNA, 662 nt
Organism: Plodia interpunctella (Indianmeal moth)
Lineage: Eukaryota; Metazoa; Arthropoda; Insecta; Lepidoptera; Pyralidae
Exons: 2
Source: RefSeq, a predicted model, not a curated record